Carassius auratus (goldfish) is the source of this 2481-nucleotide long non-coding RNA. Lineage: Eukaryota; Metazoa; Chordata; Actinopteri; Cypriniformes; Cyprinidae. The record is from Ensembl.
AUGCACAUUCAACCACUGUGUCCAGUGAUGUUGUCUGAAAACUCUUUAUCUCUUGUGGUUUCUCUGUCAGUGAGCAAGGCUGAGUGCUCUGAGGAAGAGUUCGGUCAGUUCCCGUACCGUCUGCUGGACUGGUUCCUACUCCUCAGCAGAAUGGGAGAGAGAUACACACCAGCCGCUCCCUCACAAAGCUGCCUCACACACACACAGCGAACCCAGCUUGCAGAGAGGAGGUUUGUUCUGCUGGAUCGUAAAAGGGACGGGAAGUUAAACAGGAGAGAUCUGAGAAAGCUCCACUACAAGCGGAUGCCACUGGAGCACUGCGCUCAAAGAUUCUUCCAGUAAAACACACACAGCCUAUAGACACACACAUGUGAUAUUGUGAUGUGUUCUUCUGUCUGACCUUCUAUGUAUUUGCAUAAUAUUACCGCAAACCCUCCCCAGCACCCUUCUGAUUAUAGUACACAUGCCUUCAGGAUGUCACCCACCCCUCUCUCUCAUCCUCUUUCAAUCUCUCUUCUCUCGCUCAUCCUCUCAAUCUCUCUCUCUCUCAUUCAAAGCUGUGAAUGCUUAUUGCCUUCCUACUGUUCUAAUGUGAGUGGUGUCCUUUACGGCUGAUAGCAGCGGAGAGAGACAUGUAGAAAUCAAAAACAAGAGAGAUAGAGGCAAAGAGAGUCCACUUGUAGAUUUCAACAUUAUGGUGUUUGUGUGUGUGCGUGUAGGUCAUGUGACAAGAACAAGAAUAAGAAGGUGACCCUGAGGGAGUGGACAUCCUGUCUGGUUGACCGGUCAGAACGCUGGUUUCAGGAUUUCAUGUGUAAGUCUAUAUUUGUUUCAUCAGAAUAUGAGAUUCUCAUGUGUAAGCACGUUCAAACACAUACACACACACACACACACACACAUCUUGUCCUUUUUUCCUCUCUCUACCGCAGCCGUGAAGAUGGGCUCACCAAAGCUGUGUCCUGUCCCAGACAACAACCUGUAAAUUUUGGAUGCUUUAUCCAGGUGGAAUCAUAUUUUAAACCUUAUAAUAUACCUAGAAGUAAUAAUAUUUUAUAACUGGAGACAGCUAGCCAUUUGCAUUCUUGUUGGAUUAGAAAUACAGCAAAUAGGGGUAAUGUGAAAUAUUCUUAGAAUUUAAAAUAACUAUUUUCUAUUUGAAAAUAUGUUAUAAAGUGUAAUUUAUUCCUGUGAUGUCAAAGCUGAUUUUUCAGCAGCCAUUACAUGAUCCUUUGGAAAUUAUUCUAAUAUGCUGAUUUACUACAUAAGAAACAUUUCUUAUUGUUAUCAUAAGAAUAAAAACUGUUGCUAUGAUUAAUAUUUUAAGGAUUACAAUAGAAAGUAAAAAAAAAACUUUUGUGAUAUUAUACAUUUCUUUACUGUCACUUUUGAUCAAUUUAAUACAUACAUGCUGAAUAAAAGUUUUUCUUUACCAAACAGGUUUUCUUUUCUUCUUUUCAACUUUUUCAAAAAAGUUUUUCUUUUACACUGCAGCAUUUGAAACACAAUAGCUGUUGCCCGAAAAGUGAAGGGGAUGAAAUAUCUGAAAGUUUGGGUUAGAAUAAUUGUUUACCUCUGUUAAAUUUAAAUAAAAAAAAUGGUGCAUAAUAAAAGUCUAAACAUUGCUUUGUGCACAUGUGUGUGUGUGCGCUGCACUCUAGUCAACAAAAACGGCUUUUUAAGGGACAGCAGCAUGUAUCAUGGAUCACACAAGCAAUUACUGCAGAGAGAGAAAGAGAGAGAGAUUGGGCUAUAACCUUAAACAGAGGAAUGGAGAGCAGAUUAAUUGAGGGGUGGUGUUUAAUAGGAGAGAGAUGGAGAGAGAGAUGGAUAGCCCAUGAGAGAGAUAAAAGACUACGUGAGCAGGGAUGAGAGGAAUAGAUAAUAUGGCAGAGAGAGAAACGGGGAAAGGCAAGGACACCGAAAGAGAGAGAGAAUCUCAUAAUGCACUCACAGAAUGGGACGGGGAGGGGGACAAGUUACAGUAAACCAUUGCAAAUGGAAGAGAGAAAAUAGAUUGAAGCAUGAAAAAUGGAUCAGAAAGAGAGAGACGGCGGGGGGAGGGGUGUGAGAGAGAGAGAGAAAGAGUUGCAGAAGGGUGUGAUAAAGGGUGAGAUUGUUAGAUGGAAAGAGAAAAAGAAGAGAGUAACUAAAUGGCAUCCCACCACAAAGUAACUUCCCCUUCCAGUACAUCAUUGAUGUCUUCCACUUUUCCAAACACUAAACGCUUCCAAUCAUGUCUGCCAAGUGUGAAAAAUUGAUUCGCAACAUUUGAAAACAAGAUCGAGUUUUCCAUGUCUAUAUGACCCAGGAAGUACGGCAGAAUAAUCCGGUCUCAUUACAUUUGUAGCUUUUUAAAGUGGGUUUGGUUUCCUGUAGCUUUAGUGCAGUCAAGAAUCAUCUGGCAGUAUCUUCUGCAUUGUUUGGCUUUAUGGUGCGGUUUGAUAUCUGUCAUUGUGUUGUGUGAUCAUUCUGUGUUGUGAC